CUUGCUGAUCUUAUCUUUCUUGAAAGUUCAGCAAGGUUGGUCCUGGUUAGUACUUGUAGAGGAGACUGCUCAGGAACCCCAGGAUUGAUGGGU
RNAcentral lists this ribosomal RNA (93 nucleotides) under Salvator merianae (Argentine black and white tegu). Lineage: Eukaryota; Metazoa; Chordata; Lepidosauria; Squamata; Teiidae. The record is from RNAcentral.